AAUUAAUUUCCGGUCCUGUUUAAUUUCGAAACGGGAGAAAACCAAAUUAUAUAAAGUAAAGAUAUAUUCGUUAAUUGUAAUCGGUUAAAUUUGUUAUUUUGCCGCGUUAGCGCGUUGUCGCUCCCGCUGUCGUUCUUUCUCCGCUUCUUCCGCACGUUGUUGCUCUUUUUCUGCGCGUUGCUCUGCCUUUCGCAACUACCUUCUCAACUUUUCCACAUUCGUCGAUCCAUCCAUAACGCGUAGGGGCAUAGGUUAUAUUGCGGGUUAAUUAGGAUAUAAUUGUCGCAACCCGAAUGUUAAACUGCGGCGUUAUUUAAAUGGAGCCGUAUUACGUACGCAUAUUGCGAGGGGCAACCUGUCCGAAACACCCAAAUUAACGAAUCGACCGAUAUACGGACGUAUUCAAAUGUAAAAUUAACCAGGGCCUUGGGCCAGGUAAAUGGAUUACAUUUAAACCCAUAUUUAUUAGCGAUUUUUGGCGGCCAUAAAACUUCGGCUUUUUAUAUUUAUAUGCACAUUUGCAGGGACCAAUUGUGCGGUCGUAAUAUUUAAUGGAAAAUUUCCUGCGGCGGUCUUUGCAUUAAAUGGUAUUUAUAGGCGGUUUGGACGGUAUUUAGCCUGUAUAGGCGAUUGGCGAUUCAGGGCUUCAAAUAACGGCCGGACCACUAAUUUAAUCGCAUAUAAUUGGCUGACCAAACUUUUAAUCCCGCGUACGGUCCUCUACCACCUAGCGUCAAAUAAUAAUAGUUUCCUGGCUGCCCAAUUUAAUAUAUUUUACGCGUUAAAACAGCAAAUACCAUAUAAUAUUAUAUUAGCUAACCUCGUUGGUACGCUUUAACCAUAGCAAUAUAUUGGACUAUUAUAAUUGUAAAUAUAAUAUUUCCUAGGUGCGUUAAAAAUAGCGUAAAUUAAAGCAAAAACUAUAUACUGGCAAUUUACCGCGGUAUUACGGUUUUGGAAGGUUGGAAUGGUAUUAUAAUCCUAAACGUAUUUAAAUGCGCAUAAACGACGGCGCGUGCUAAAAUAAAUUUACACCAUUUUUGCCCAAUGCAGGGAUUUUUUUAUAUGCCCCGUUUAUAAAACUCCACACCCGCACCGUACAAAAAUAUAAAAUAUAACCUAUAAUUAUAGGGCCACCCUCCGCUUACGGAAUAUAGUUCCGAUAAGUUUACCCAGUUCGACCACAAUAAUUGCUUCCAUAUCCGGUGCUUUUCUAACCGCCAUAAAUUAUUAGCUUUAUUUUUCCGAAAAGCCGUUUGGAUUAUUACCGAAAGUGUUUAGGUAAUUUAAUAUGGACUUCCUAGUUUUAUAUCCCAAAAUGGCCGGCGUCCAAUAAAAAGUAAAUAAAGCAGGAAUAUGGGACGAAAAUAACGAUGGGCGUCCAGGAGUUAUUGGACGAAUUUGGUUCCCAUUAAAUUCCAAACAGGGUUUAUUUUGGCGCAUCCAAAUUUUUAAUUUAUUAAUUUGCCUGCUAGAAGUCCAACAGCACGGCGAAUAAUUAAAUUUUGCGAAAAAAACCUUCACUUUUAUAUGCCGUUUUUUCAGUAAAACUGCAGCGCCUUAACGAAAAAAUAUAUAUUCUGGCCCGUUUGCUGCCGACCCAACAAUACCAACGGCAGCAACAGGUAUAUAUGGCAGGUUCAAAUUCCAAUUUUGUUUUUUACCCGCAUUUUGGGGUGAAAUUAAUCCUAAUUUUUCUAAAGGGUAUUUUUUGUAACGGGCUUAUUCCUAUUAACCUUCACCUCCUAUAAAAGAACGUACAUUAAAACGCACCGAUCCCAUUAUUAUAUUGGCGGUGUCUUUUUUAGGUAAGGACUAAAUUAGACAUUAAUAAAUAGGAAUUUUUGCAAUUCGAACCACAAAAAACCAAUAUUAAAGAGCAAGGGGUUCGAAAACUUUGCUCCCGUUUACCUAUAGCUGGUUACCUGUGGGUUUUUCGGAAUAUUACGUUAGUCGUCCGGGCCGGAUGCGUUAUUCCGUGCAGCAAAUUAAAAAACGGUGAAAAUUAGGAAAAUGGGGGAGAAUAAAUACGGACCAGGCCAUUUUUAAAUCCUUUAUUGCGAGGAUUGGCGAUUAGUAAUAUGGUGGGGUUUUUUGUUUUUGUGGUUUGUUGGUUCGCUUUAUAAUUGUUCGAUAAUAAACUAGGCAAUUAGGGUAAAUGGGUAUUUACUGGAUUCGCUGCCUCGAUUAACGCCUCCAUUUUAAAUAAUAGGUAGUUUUGUCGAUUUAUAUUAUUCCAGCAAAAAACGGGCCCCUUCUUUCCACAAUUCCUGAGCACGGAUUAUAACAGGUGUGGCAUCUUUUUAUUUUACGCUAACUGUCUGUUUUAUCUAUCCCUACCCGUAACUGCCGUAGGUGGACCAUUCGUUCUUUCCAUUUCGUAUAUAUACCACCAUGGAACAAUAUAUUAGCCCUUUCGACACUCUUGGUUUGGAAUAUGGAAUUUAUUUAAAAGACUAUAUCCAAAACGCCUUCCGAGCGGUAUCUUCGAUAAUUCAUGGAGAUUCUCGUAGCGAGAGCACGUCCAAUAAACCAAAAUGGCUUAUUUUCGAACAAAUAACCAACGUUAAAAACUUAUUAUUUAAUUUAUUGCAAAUGGGAUCGCAAUUUACGGAAAAUGCAAAGAAAUUCAGCAUUUUCCCCCGGACAGUUUUUGUGGAAAGAAAGGACAGAACGAACGAAAUUAUAUUUAUAUCCCCUUUAAAAUUACAAAUCCACAAAUUAUUAGUUUUUUGCGAUAAAUGUCAGGUUAUUAUAUAUAAAGAAGACCUGCGACAAUAUCGGCAAACCCAUAACAAUUACUGUUGCACAUAUUGCGAGGCCGAAUUCUCACGACAAGAAUAUCUGAGCCAUUUUACUGUUAAUAACUUUGACAAAUGCCAAAUUUGCUGCAAAACUAUUACAAAAGGGGCGUACACCAAAUACCUGGAGCGGACAUAUAAAUGGGCAAAAUGCCCCUUUUGUUUAAUAUUUUACCCUAAUUUGGACCGGAUAUAAGAGCAUUUGGGCGCGACACAUUUAAUAAGACGUUGCAAUUCUUGCCCCGAAAAUAAUAUAUACGAGCUGUCAAUUUAUAUUUCUAUGGGUUAUUAAUAUGUGACCUGCCUUUGCGGGGCCGAGAUUUGCAACGAAUCGCUAUUGGGUUAUUUAGAACGGUAAUAUUGGUUUUCGGCCUGUUUUAGCGGCGAAAUUUGUAUUAUAAGCGGUUACGACGAUCACGAUUUUAUUUUGGCUUAUAUUAACAAAUCGCACCCCCCAGACCAAUACCCGGUUUGCGAAUAUUUUGUUUUUGGGACCGGAACGUUUUGGGAUUAUUUAUCCCAAAAACAUUACUUCCGGCUUUGCGAAAAAUGCAAUAUUUCGGAUUAUUAUUAAACGGUAACAGGAAUUUAAUCCAACCAGCGAUAAUUACACCUGGACGAAAAUUAUAUAUGGAAAAAAUGUCGCAAUUGUCGAACUGGUAUUUAAAUAAAUCAAAUGCCAAAACAUCUCCAAAAUUCCCAUGGUUAUAUAAUAUGCGAUGUUUGCGCCGACGUAUGGCCCCCCAAUAAAUUAAAGGGAUAUAAAAUGCGAUAGCACCGUCGCUGCGAAAUUUGCGACGUAUAUGUUUUAAACGAAAAUUACCUCCAAUAUUUAAUUACGCACGGAAAAAAACCUUGCCCGUUAUGCGACGAAAUUCUUUUCCUAAAUAAAUUUCCCCUUUAUUUUUCGAUUAAAUAUAACGAAACAAAUAUUUGCCCUAUAUCCGAUUGCAAAAUAUAUUAUUCUAAAUUAGGCCUGCAAAUUUAUAUUUGCCAAACCCACGGGUGGGGAAAAUGCCGCUUUUAUAAUAUAAUAACUGCUUCUGGGCAGCCAUUGCGAAACCAUAAAUUUAAAUACAGCCCCAAAAUUUGCCAAAUUUGUAACGAACAAAUUCCUGCAGACGAUUUUCGACAAUAUUAAAAGGCCGAAUAUUAGAUCCAGGAAUGCCCCUUUUGCGAAAAGUUAGGGAAUAACCUCCUCCAUUAUAUCCACAAUUAUUACCCUUUAGCCGAAAUAAGCGCGAAAAAUGCAAACCAAAAUAAUACGGCAUUUAAUUUCCGCAAAGGGGUUUGUAAAGCCGAUGCUGGGCUGGUUAUACCGAAUCCUGCCUUUCAACCAGCGUAAGAUAAGUUUUGGGGUAUUUAUAAUUUACUAAAUAAUAUGCGAGAAUUUUUAAAGCAAAAUUUGUCAACGCCCUUUUAUCCAGCGAUCACUUUAUCUGCAACCAAUAUUAUAGGGUCGAUUGGAAAUAUAUUGGAAAUUUAAAGUCGAUAAGGCGUACGUAACGCCAGGGCCACAACACCCAUCCGUAAUUAGGUGAAUAUCUUAUCGGAAAAGGAAGAUAUAAACGUAUUAUUUCGACAAGUAGAAUUACCUGAGGGAGCUUAUUUUAAUCGGCGGUUUGAACGAUUACAUAUAUUACCAGGAUAUAUAACGAAACGCAAUUUUGCCGAAAAUCAUACCACACCCGCUAGCAAACGUCGCAAAAAGGUUAAUAUAAAACAACUGGUUACCUAUAUUGGAAGUGAAAAAACCAAAUUUGGAUUUCGUACUUUUAUUUAAUUAUAUUUUACCAAUACAAAAACGGCCACGCCCGCAUUCCCCGCUAUACCGGACCUUGCACCGGACCUUUUGCAACUGGUUUUAAAAUUUAGCGAAAAAGCGGCAAAUUAUAAAAAGGCGAUUGGUAUAUAUCGGUUAUAUUAAUAUAUCAGCCUAUUGGAGUUGGCCAAAGUUCUCCAUAAUUCCAAAUAUGGACGCAUUCGAGUUAAUUUAAAUAAAUA
RNAcentral lists this small RNA (4805 nucleotides) under Pyricularia oryzae. Its description in RNAcentral is "Magnaporthe oryzae sRNA M_BR32_EuGene_00136601". The record is from RNAcentral. Lineage: Eukaryota; Fungi; Ascomycota; Sordariomycetes; Magnaporthales; Pyriculariaceae.